UUUGAUUAUAAUUUAAAGUCUAAUCUGCCCUAUGACAAAUUAAAUGGCCGCGGUACUUUGACCGUGCAAAGGUAGCAUAAUAAUUAGUUUUUUAAUUGAAAGCUGGAAUGAAUGAUUGGACGAGAAAAUAACUGUCUCAAUUUAAUUUUUUUAGAAUUUUAUUUUUAAGUAAGAAAGCUUAAAUUUUAUUAAAAGACGAGAAGACCCUAUAGAGUUUUAUAGUUAAUUUAUUAUAAAUUUUUAAGUAUUAUUUUAUUUUUAAUAAAUUAAAUAUUUUAUUGGGGUGAUAGAAAAAUAUUAUUAACUUUUUUUAUAUUUAAACCAUUAAUUUAUGAUUAAAUGAUCCAUUUUUUAUGAUUAAAAGAAUAAGUUACCUUAGGGAUAACAGCGUAAUUUUUUUUUAGAGUUCUUAUCGAAAGAAAAGAUUGCGACCUCGAUGUUGGAUUAAAAUAAAUGUUUGGUGUAGGAGCUAAAAUAAUUGGGUCUGUUCGACCUUUAAAAUU
This 503-nucleotide ribosomal RNA is filed under the name Maladera orientalis. Its description in RNAcentral is "partial 16S ribosomal RNA". It matches the Rfam family "Bacterial large subunit ribosomal RNA", at positions 1834 to 2595 of the family's 2925-position model. The record is from RNAcentral. Lineage: Eukaryota; Metazoa; Arthropoda; Insecta; Coleoptera; Scarabaeidae.